Molecule: ribosomal RNA, 453 nt
Filed under: Triticum aestivum (bread wheat)
Lineage: Eukaryota; Viridiplantae; Streptophyta; Magnoliopsida; Poales; Poaceae
Description: partial small subunit ribosomal RNA
Source: RNAcentral
AUGGCCCACAACGAUGAGGCCGGGGGUUCGGGCGGCAAGGCAUUCUGGGAGCUGUCCCAGGAGAUGGAGGAACAACCUCACUUGUAUGAGGCCGCCGCCUUCCCCACCGAUCCUGAGACCACGGAUGGUGCCGCCGAGGAUGACCACACUGAUGCCACCACUGAUGGUGCCGCCGAGGAUGCCACCACUGAUGAUGGCGGCACACGCACAGAUAGCAGCCAGCCGAAGAGGCAACGGAAGGACCGGCGCCCGAUCGUGCUCCGCACCCUCAAGGAGGAAGUUACUGAAGUGGACUCCAACGGGAAUCCAACGGCGCCCGAACGAAUAGUCAAGGGGUACUCGCUUCAGCUCGGGUGCAUUGUCCGGAGCACCGUCUCGAUCAACACCAAGAACCUGAGGCAUCCUGACCGGGGGAAUUUGCGCCACCUCCUCUUCACGAAGCUGCACGAAUGA